UACGAAGGGGGCUAGCGUUGCUCGGAAUUACUGGGCGUAAAGGGCGCGUAGGCGGCGCUGCAAGUCAGGCGUGAAAUUCCUGGGCUUAACCUGGGGGCUGCGCUUGAGACUGUGGUGCUAGAGGACGGAAGAGGCUCGUGGAAUUCCCAGUGUAGAGGUGAAAUUCGUAGAUAUUGGGAAGAACACCGGUGGCGAAGGCGGCAUCCUGGACCGGUAUUGACGCUGAGGCGCGAAAGCUAGGGGAGCAAACGGG
Molecule: ribosomal RNA, 253 nt
Filed under: uncultured bacterium
Lineage: Bacteria
Description: partial 16S ribosomal RNA
Rfam family: Bacterial small subunit ribosomal RNA
Source: RNAcentral